AGUGAACGCUGGCGGUAGGCCUAACACAUGCAAGUCGAGCGGCAGCACAGUAAGAGCUUGCUCUUACGGGUGGCGAGUGGCGGACGGGUGAGGAAUACAUCGGAAUCUACUUUUUCGUGGGGGAUAACGUAGGGAAACUUACGCUAAUACCGCAUAUGACCUACGGGUGAAAGCAGGGGAUCUUCGGACCUUGCGCGAUUGAAUGAGCCGAUGUCGGAUUAGCUAGUUGGCGGGGUAAAGGCCCACCAAGGCGACGAUCCGUAGCUGGUCUGAGAGGAUGAUCAGCCACACUGGAACUGAGACACGGUCCAGACUCCUACGGGAGGCAGCAGUGGGGAAUAUUGGACAAUGGGCGCAAGCCUGAUCCAGCCAUACCGCGUGGGUGAAGAAGGCCUUCGGGUUGUAAAGCCCUUUUGUUGGGAAAGAAAAGCAGCAGGUUAAUACCCCGCUGUUCUGACGGUACCCAAAGAAUAAGCACCGGCUAACUUCGUG
This 492-nucleotide ribosomal RNA is filed under the name uncultured bacterium. Its description in RNAcentral is "partial 16S ribosomal RNA". It matches the Rfam family "Bacterial small subunit ribosomal RNA", at positions 29 to 507 of the family's 1533-position model. The record is from RNAcentral.